CACGUAGGCGGACUCUUAAGUCAGGGGUGAAAUCCUGGAGCUCAACUCCAGAACUGCCUUUGAUACUGGGAGUCUUGAGUUCGGGAGAGGUGAGUGGAACUGCGAGUGUAGAGGUGAAAUUCGUAGAUAUUCGCAAGAACACCAGUGGCGAAGGCGGCUCACUGGCCCGAUACUGACGCUGAGUGCGAAAGCGUGGGAGCAAACA
This 205-nucleotide ribosomal RNA is filed under the name uncultured bacterium. Its description in RNAcentral is "partial 16S ribosomal RNA". It matches the Rfam family "Bacterial small subunit ribosomal RNA", at positions 568 to 774 of the family's 1533-position model. The record is from RNAcentral.